Molecule: small nuclear RNA, 114 nt
Organism: Camelus dromedarius (Arabian camel)
Lineage: Eukaryota; Metazoa; Chordata; Mammalia; Artiodactyla; Camelidae
Gene: U4
Rfam family: U4 spliceosomal RNA
About the family: U4 small nuclear RNA (U4 snRNA) is a component of the major U2-dependent spliceosome. The structure of U4 snRNA from yeast and human has been reported.
Source: Ensembl
AGUUUUGCGCAGUGGCAGUAUCAUAGCCAGUGAGGUUUAUCCCAGGGGUGACUAUUGCUAGUUGAAAACUUUUCCCAAUACCCCUCUAUGACAACUUGAACUAUAGUCGGCAAU